This 410-nucleotide unclassified non-coding RNA is filed under the name soil metagenome. RNAcentral's name for it is "partial contains 5.8S ribosomal RNA, internal transcribed spacer 2, and large subunit ribosomal RNA". The stretch from base 1 to 120 matches the Rfam family "5.8S ribosomal RNA", at positions 35 to 154 of the family's 154-position model. The record is from RNAcentral.
GAUGAAGAACGUAGCGAAAUGCGAUAAGUAAUGUGAAUUGCAGAAUUCAGUGAAUCAUCGAAUCUUUGAACGCACCUUGCGCUCCUUGGUAUUCCUCGGAGCAUGCCUGUUUGAGUAUCAUGAAACUCUCAAAGAAAAUCUUUUGUUAAUUCAAUUGGUUUGCUUUGGACUUGGAGUUCUUGCAGAUUGAAAUCUGCUCCUCUUAAAUAUAUUAGCCGGAUCUCAGUUAUAUGCUCGGUUCCACUCGGCGUGAUAAGUAUCAUUCGCUGAGGACACUGUAAAAGGUGGCCGGGAAAUACAGAUGAACCGCUUCAAACAGUCCAUUCACUUGGACAAAAAUAAGUUUUAAGAUUUGAUCUCAAAUCAGGUAGGACUACCCGCUGAACUUAAGCAUAUCAAUAAGCGGAGGA